GGGAUGUAGCUUAGUAGGUAGACUGCUUGCCUAGCAUGCAUGAGGGCCUGGGUUCAAUAACCAGUCCCA
This 69-nucleotide transfer RNA is filed under the name Marmota monax (woodchuck). Its description in RNAcentral is "tRNA.Ala". Lineage: Eukaryota; Metazoa; Chordata; Mammalia; Rodentia; Sciuridae. The record is from RNAcentral.